AAUACAUAUUAACUACCCUUCCGGAUUACCAAGCUUAGACAUUAAAAAUAUUCAUAACCCUACAUGUCAAUUGAAGCACAAAUGGCCGGAAGUAGAUCAAAAGUAAUUAAAGACUUGCCCUGAUAAUCCAGAUGACGUCCUGUCGGUGGGGAGCAAAAGAUAAAAUCUUUUGCACCCACUGAACUACACGUCAACUUGGUUCGCUUGGGGCUGACAUUU
Molecule: small nucleolar RNA, 219 nt
Filed under: Huiozyma naganishii CBS 8797
Lineage: Eukaryota; Fungi; Ascomycota; Saccharomycetes; Saccharomycetales; Saccharomycetaceae
Source: RNAcentral